CCUACGGGUGGCAGCAGUGGGGAAUAUUGCGCAAUGGGCGAAAGCCUGACGCAGCGACGCCGCGUGAGGGAUGAAGGUCUUCGGAUCGUAAACCUCUGUCAGCAGGGAAGAACGGUCACUGUGCUAAUCAGCAGUGAAUUGACGGUACCUGCAAAGGAAGCACCGGCUAACUCCGUGACAGCAGCCGAGGUAAUACGGAGGGGGCGAGCGUUAGUCGGAAUUACUGGGCGUAAAGCGAGCGUAGGCGGUAUGUCAAGUCAAGGGUGAAAUCCCCGCGCUCAACGUGGGAACUGCCUUUGAAACUGGCAAACUGGAGUGUGUGAGAGGUUAGUGGAAUUCCAGGUGUAGGGGUGAAAUCCGUAGAUAUCUGGAGGAACAUCAGUGGCGAAGGCGACUAUCUGGCACAUAACUGACGCUGAGGAGCGAAAGCGUGGGUAGCAAACAGGAUUAGAUACCCUGGUAGUC
RNAcentral lists this ribosomal RNA (465 nucleotides) under uncultured bacterium. RNAcentral's name for it is "partial 16S ribosomal RNA". It matches the Rfam family "Bacterial small subunit ribosomal RNA", at positions 338 to 795 of the family's 1533-position model. The record is from RNAcentral.